ACCAGGGCUUCGGCCCUGGGGACAGCGGCGAACGGGUGAGUAACACGUGGAUAACCUGCCCUCGGCACCGGAAUAGCCCGGGGAAACUCGGAUUAAUGCCGGAUGGCCCCACAUCCUCUCGGGGAACGUGGGAAAAGGUAGCUUCGGCCUCUGGCCGGGGAUGGGUCCGCGGCGGAUUAGCUUGUUGGUGGGGUAACGGCCUACCAAGGCUCCGAUCCGUAGCUGGUCUGAGAGGACGAUCAGCCACACUGGGACUGAGACACGGCCCAGACUCCUACGGGAGGCAGCAGUGGGGAAUCUUGCGCAAUGGGCGAAAGCCUGACGCAGCGACACCGCGUGGGGGACGAAGGCCUUUCAGG
Molecule: ribosomal RNA, 359 nt
Filed under: uncultured bacterium
Lineage: Bacteria
Description: bacterial SSU rRNA
Rfam family: Bacterial small subunit ribosomal RNA
Source: RNAcentral